CAUAUCUAUACGACGAGGAUAACGGCUGGAAACGGCUGCUAAGACUGGAUAGGAAUAUAAGGGGCAUCCCUAAUAUUUUAAAAGACUUUGGUAUGCGUAUAGGAUGGCCUGCGGCGCAUUAGCUAGUUGGUGGGGUAAUAGCCUACCAAGGCAAUGAUGCGUAGCCGGACUGAGAGGUUGACCGGCCACAUUGGGACUGAGACACGGCCCAGACUCCUACGGGAGGCAGCAGUAGGGAAUUUUCGGCAAUGGGGGGAACCCUGACCGAGCAACGCCGCGUGAAUGAAGAAGUACUUAGGUAUGUAAAGUUCUUUUAUUGGGGAAGAAAGGCUAGAGCAAUCUAGAUUGACGGUACCCAUUGAAUAAGCCCCGGCUAACUAUGUGCCAGCAGCCGCGGUAAUACAUAGGGGGCAAGCGUUAUCCGGAAUUAUUGGGCAUAAAGGGUGCGUAGGCGGCACGUUAAGUUUAAGGUAUAAGCUCAUGGCUCAACCAUGGGAGGCUUUAGAAACUGGCGUGCUAGAGUGCAGUAGAGGCAAGUGGAAUUCCAUGUGUAGCGGUAAAAUGCGUAAAUAUAUGGAGGAACACCAGUAGCGAAGGCGGCUUGCUG
Molecule: ribosomal RNA, 607 nt
Filed under: uncultured bacterium
Lineage: Bacteria
Description: bacterial SSU rRNA
Rfam family: Bacterial small subunit ribosomal RNA
Source: RNAcentral